Molecule: ribosomal RNA, 512 nt
Filed under: uncultured bacterium
Lineage: Bacteria
Description: partial 16S ribosomal RNA
Rfam family: Bacterial small subunit ribosomal RNA
Source: RNAcentral
GAUGAACGCUGGCGGCGUGCCUAAUACAUGCAAGUCGAACGAAACUUCUUUAUCACCGAGUGCUUGCACUCACCGAUAAAGAGUUGAGUGGCGAACGGGUGAGUAACACGUGGGCAACCUGCCCAAAAGAGGGGGAUAACACUUGGAAACAGGUGCUAAUACCGCAUAACCAUAGUUACCGCAUGGUAACUAUGUAAAAGGUGGCUAUACUACCGCUUUUGGAUGGGCCCGCGGCGCAUUAGCUAGUUGGUAGGGUAAAGGCUUACCAAGGCAAUGAUGCGUAGCCGAAUUGAGAGGUUGAUCGGCCACAUUGGGACUGAGACACGGCCCAAACUCCUACGGGAGGCAGCAGUAGGGAAUCUUCCACAAUGGGCGAAAGCCUGAUGGAGCAACGCCGCGUGGGUGAAGAAGGUCUUCGGAUCGUAAAACCCUGUUGUUAGAGAAGAAAGUGCGUGAGAGUAACUGUUCACGUAUCGACGGUAUCUAACCAGAAAGCCACGGCUAACUACGUG